RNAcentral lists this ribosomal RNA (215 nucleotides) under uncultured bacterium. RNAcentral's name for it is "partial 16S ribosomal RNA". It matches the Rfam family "Bacterial small subunit ribosomal RNA", at positions 1287 to 1500 of the family's 1533-position model. The record is from RNAcentral.
CUCAGUUCGGACUGUGGGCUGCAACCCGCCCACACGAAGUCGGAGUUGCUAGUAAUCCCGAAUCAGCAUGUCGGGGUGAAUGCGUUCCCGGGUCUUGUACACACCGCCCGUCACGCCAUGGGAGGUUGGGAGUGCCCAAAGUCGGUGACCUAACCGCAAGGAGGACGCCGCCGAAGGUGGGGUUGAUGAUUAGGGUUAAGUCGUAACAAGGUACC